GAAUGCAAAAGACAAAAUUGGGGAAAAAGAGAAGAGCGCAAAAAGCAGUAACAAAAGACAACAACACUUGUUUGGAACCUGGCAAGUAGAAAGGCAAACAUACAAUGGAAACUGGGUCUAAACAAAGAGAAAAAUUCAUAUUCAAUUCAAUAACCAAAAAACAGCAAUACCGACAGGAACAUGCUUGGGUAACCUGGGAGGAAACGAGGACACAAGCAAGAACAAAAGACAACAACACUUGAUAGAACUCUGUAAACAAAGUGAAAAUAUAAUGCAAUAGCAAAAGACUCCUUGGUUAACCUGGUUAGGUAACCUGGGUAGAAACAAAGACCAAAAAAACAACAAAAAUCAAGAACAAAAGACACCAAGAGAUGCCGCUUUGUGGGCAAAAGUCAACAGAUUCUUGGAUGCAGAGUUUCCAGUGCUCCCAUCAGGCAGUGAAUGAAUGCUGCCAGCGCCCAGAGGGGUUUUGCGCCCCGAUGGGUAACAAGUGUUCUUCCCAUGACCACCGUCGGGCUCGAUUGUUUUAAUCUGCGUGGUUUUACCAUAGGCAGUAAUGUAAAGCCAAUUAUUUCUUUCCAGGCCUCAAACUGACGCCAUCUUCAAAUCUUUAUUACCGCUCCAGAUGAUGUAAUCAUAAGCACGGCGCGUGCAUCCAUCCGUGUUCCACGUUGCCCUCACUAGGAAUGAGCUGAAGUAUAUCCCAGCUGACUUUUGGCAAGAGGCGGGGUAUACCCUGAAGUGGUCGCCAGCCAAUCAGAGGGCACAUGGAGAAAAACAACUACUCACAUUCACGCAAACCUCGAUGCAGCUCUGCUUACCUUUGGGCUUUGGUUUGACAUCAGCAGGGACGUCGCACCCAUGUUUCAGACAGUCCGGCUUUGAAGGUGGAUCUGCAUCUGAUGAUUGCGUGGGCGGAGAAAACAGAGUGUGUGGGGCGGCAGUUAUUAUGCAAAUGAAUCCUACUGUUACAUCACAGUGGGGUCAAAGUGCAGAACAUUUUCAGAAAUUGGCAGAGAACAAAAGAUUUCCUCGGGUGUUUGAAUUCACACUUGCUCAGCUACGUUUUGCAUACAAGCCAUUAAAAAAAUCCGUUUUCCAUAAUAAAGAGCAUGGUUAUAUUUUAACUGGAAGGCUUGGAAACAGGUGAACCUAAACAUGUGACCAGUGAGUGUUUGUUAUUAUCGAUAGACGCAACACUAAACAUCGGCAAAGACGUGCAGUUAAAUGGGAAAGCCCUCCCGAGUCCCUCCGACUCCAUUACAUUUAAACUAAUCCAAUUGGAGCGCUUAAUGGCCUCAUGACCGGGCGCUGUGCUUGGUAAGACAGACGCACAUCAUUUUUACUUUAUGGACUCUUUGCACUAAACACAACGGCUGGAUUUACACUCCAGGGCUUAAGGGCGCAAUUACUUUUUAACCCUUGUGGUCUGUUUUUUGUUUUGUAUUUUUACUUUGGGCUGUAUUACAGUUUGUUGCAUGACAUUUUGCUGGAAAUGUUAUCCUUCGUAUCAAGAGGAGCCAGAUGAGGUGGCUCGGGCAUCCGGUUAGGGCGCCUCCCUGGUGAUGUGUCCCGGGCACGUCCCACAACUGAGGACACACUGGAAAGAAUGUCGCCCGGCUGACCUGGGAACGCCUUUGGAUCUCCUCCAGAAGACCUGAACGAAGUGGCUGGGGAAAGGGAAGUUUGGGCUUCCCUGCUGAACCUGCCGCCCCCGCGACCCAACCCCGCAUAAACGGAAGAAAACUGACAUUUUUGCGAGCUGCAGAGCCCCAAAGUGGAACUCCACUGAGGAGCAAUUUGCUUGAAAUGAAUUCAGGAUUUGACAUCGGAGGUCAUUUUGCCAGGUGGGACUACAAAGAGAGAUCGGCUCUGCUGUGUUUAAAUGGGGAUUAAAGCCAGUUAAAAGUGCACUGCAGGACUUCCUCCAGACACGUCAUUAUAAAAGCAAAGGCAUCCACACUUUCUCUAACUUUCAGGUCUCUCUGACAAGGAAAAUGCAGCUAUUAUAUAAGAUCACGCUUUCCGUCAAUCACCUUUUCUUUUUUCUUUUUUUUUAGAGCCGCUGAAGAAAAUGGACCAAUCCGUGGAUUAGACAGUAGUAACAGUUAACAUCUUACUUCAUAGUCACUGUUGUUUACAUACAAAAGCAAAGCUAACCAAAAUAAUUAGUGUGAGCAUUUUCCGCAUGGUUUGUGUUUUAAAGGUGGUCUUAUAUCAUGUGGAGGCUGCUGUAUUAAUGCUGUGUGCAUGUUUAUUCUGGAAGCUGUUCCUAUUUUUUUGUUUUGUUUUUCCCCAGGCCUCAUCCCCGUCUUAAAGGGCCAGUACGGUUAAAACCAGUAAAAGUGUCAGGAAGGAUGCAAGCCCCGGCUGCCACCAGGGAGGUCUUACCUCUGACUCCAUCUUAUCAGCCCCCGCUGCCCUUGAAAGCAAAGACCCUGCCUCCCACAAUGAACAGGGUCACCGGGCUGGGGGGCAUCCGAGUGGAAACAGGCGGGCAGCGGCUAUCUCCCACAACGUGAGAGGCACACACACUUCCAUAUGUUAAAAUCUAUUGACAGUAUUUUGAACAAAGAGA
Molecule: long non-coding RNA, 2578 nt
Organism: Phyllopteryx taeniolatus (common seadragon)
Lineage: Eukaryota; Metazoa; Chordata; Actinopteri; Syngnathiformes; Syngnathidae
Exons: 3
Source: RefSeq, a predicted model, not a curated record